AGAGUUUGAUCAUGGCUCAGAACGAACGCUGGCGGCAGGCUUAACACAUGCAAGUCGAGCGCUGUAGCAAUACAGAGCGGCAGACGGGUGAGUAACACGUGGGAAUCUACCCAUCCCUGCGGAACAACUCCGGGAAACUGGAGCUAAUACCGCAUACGCCCUUAGGGGGGAAGAUUUAUCAGGGAUGGAUGAGCCCGCGUUGGAUUAGCUAGUUGGUGGGGUAAAGGCCUACCAAGGCGACGAUCCAUAGCUGGUCUGAGAGGAUGAUCAGCCACAUUGGGACUGAGACACGGCCCAAACUCCUACGGGAGGCAGCAGUGGGGAAUAUUGGACAAUGGGCGCAAGCCUGAUCCAGCCAUGCCGCGUGAGUGAUGAAGGCCUUAGGGUUGUAAAGCUCUUUCACCGAUGAAGAUAAUGACGGUAGUCGGAGAAGAAGCCCCGGCUAACUUCGUGCCAGCAGCCGCGGUA
RNAcentral lists this ribosomal RNA (468 nucleotides) under uncultured Pseudomonadota bacterium. RNAcentral describes it as "bacterial SSU rRNA". It matches the Rfam family "Bacterial small subunit ribosomal RNA", at positions 8 to 522 of the family's 1533-position model. Lineage: Bacteria; Pseudomonadati; Pseudomonadota. The record is from RNAcentral.